RNAcentral lists this ribosomal RNA (218 nucleotides) under Erythrobacter sp. HI0019. RNAcentral describes it as "partial 23S ribosomal RNA". It matches the Rfam family "Bacterial large subunit ribosomal RNA", at positions 2690 to 2925 of the family's 2925-position model. Lineage: Bacteria; Pseudomonadati; Pseudomonadota; Alphaproteobacteria; Sphingomonadales; Erythrobacteraceae. The record is from RNAcentral.
GACCGGGGUGAACAUACCUCUGGUGUACCUGUCAUCCUGCCAAGGGUGCCGCAGGGUAGCUAUGUAUGGACGGGAUAACCGCUGAAAGCAUCUAAGCGGGAAGCCUCCCUUGAGAUAAGCAAUCUUCGAACCGUCAUAGACCAUGACGUUGAUAGGCCGGGUGUGGAAGCGCAGUAAUGCGUGUAGCUAACCGGUCCUAAUAGUUCUUUUCGCGCUUG